Molecule: non-coding RNA, 753 nt
Organism: Salmo salar (Atlantic salmon)
Lineage: Eukaryota; Metazoa; Chordata; Actinopteri; Salmoniformes; Salmonidae
Source: RefSeq, a predicted model, not a curated record
AACCAUAGUGGUAGUAGCACUGUAGUAAUACUGUAUUUAGGUUGAUUGGUGGUAUUGUACCAGUAUGAUAACUCCUGCUAUUCAUCAGAUCUGUCUAAUUCAUGUUCUAAACACUACACUCUGUAUCCCUCUAGCUCUUUUCCUCCAUGUAUCCAUUCACUCUCCCUCCUGCCUUCCCCAUCUGUGCUUUUCUCACAUGCUUUCAUUGCAAAAGAAGGCUACUAGGUAAAGCCUUAUCACACUCCCUCUGACAGAACUUUGACCAGCCAAGCAGACCUCUCUGACCUCUGAGAACCUUCCUCUUAUUGGCUGAGAAUUCCAUUGACCCCACCCUUCCUUGUCCUCCAGAAGCAAGCAGUGUGAAUCUUGUGCCUCUGCCACUGCUGUGUUCCAAGCGGUGGACGAGACAGCUAAGUUGUAAGUAACCAUGAGUCGAGCCUGGGCCCACCCCUACAUCAGCAACGUGGUCGGAUACACAACCCUGUUCGCAUCCGCAGACCUCAUACAGCAAAGCAUGCUUGGAGGGAAACAGAGUGGUGGAUUAAACACAGACAAGGGAACACUCACCAUCCAUGACUCAGAGGGGGCCAAGCUUAACAUGGAGGGAACCAAUAUUUCCACUGGUCUUAGUGUAUUAGAAAACAAAGAGGACCCAUUGGAAAACUGGAGGGAGAAAUUCUGGACUUCAUACAAGACUGGAGUGGUCUACUGGUCAACAAUGCAGGUAGAAACAAUAACAACACAUUAUAUGCA